UUAAGCGACUAAGCGUACACGGUGGAUGCCCUGGCAGUCAGAGGCGAUGAAGGACGUGCUAAUCUGCGAAAAGCGUCGGUAAGGUGAUAUGAACCGUUAUAACCGGCGAUGUCCGAAUGGGGAAACCCAGUGUGAUUCGUCACACUAUCGUUAACUGAAUACAUAGGUUAACGAGGCGAACCGGGGGAACUGAAACAUCUAAGUACCCCGAGGAAAAGAAAUCAACCGAGAUUCCCCCAGUAGCGGCGAGCGAACGGGGAGCAGCCCAGAGUCUGAAUCAGCUUGUGUGUUAGUGGAACGGUCUGGAAAGUCCGACGGUACAGGGUGAUAGUCCCGUACACCAAAAUGCACAGGCUGUGAACUCGAAGAGUAGGGCGGGACACGUGGUAUCCUGUCUGAAUAUGGGGGGACCAUCCUCCAAGGCUAAAUACUCCUGACUGACCGAUAGUGAACCAGUACCGUGAGGGAAAGGCGAAAAGAACCCCGGCGAGGGGAGUGAAAAAGAACCUGAAACCGUGUACGUACAAGCAGUGGGAGCACCUUCGGGUGUGACUGCGUACCUUUUGUAUAAUGGGUCAGCGACUUAUAUUCUGUAGCAAGGUUAACCGUAUAGGGGAGCCGCAGGGAAACCGAGUCUUAACUGGGCGUUAAGUUGCAGGGUAUAGACCCGAAACCCGGUGAUCUAGCCAUGGGCAGGUUGAAGGUUGGGUAACACUAACUGGAGGACCGAACCGACUAAUGUUGAAAAAUUAGCGGAUGACUUGUGGCUGGGGGUGAAAGGCCAAUCAAACCGGGAGAUAGCUGGUUCUCCCCGAAAGCUAUUUAGGUAGCGCCUCGUGAACUCAUCUUCGGGGGUAGAGCACUGUUUCGGCUAGGGGGUCAUCCCGACUUACCAACCCGAUGCAAACUACGAAUACCGAAGAAUGUUAUCACGGGAGACACACGGCGGGUGCUAACGUCCGUCGUGAAGAGGGAAACAACCCAGACCGCCAGCUAAGGUCCCAAAGUCAUGGUUAAGUGGGAAACGAUGUGGGAAGGCACAGACAGCCAGGAUGUUGGCUUAGAAGCAGCCAUCAUUUAAAGAAAGCGUAAUAGCUCACUGGUCGAGUCGGCCUGCGCGGAAGAUGUAACGGGGCUAAACCAUGCACCGAAGCUGCGGCAGCGACACUAUGUGUUGUUGGGUAGGGGAGCGUUCUGUAAGCCUGCGAAGGUGUGCUGUGAGGCAUGCUGGAGGUAUCAGAAGUGCGAAUGCUGACAUAAGUAACGAUAAAGCGGGUGAAAAGCCCGCUCGCCGGAAGACCAAGGGUUCCUGUCCAACGUUAAUCGGGGCAGGGUGAGUCGACCCCUAAGGCGAGGCCGAAAGGCGUAGUCGAUGGGAAACAGGUUAAUAUUCCUGUACUUGGUGUUACUGCGAAGGGGGACGGAGAAGGCUAUGUUAGCCGGGCGACGGUUGUCCCGGUUUAAGCAUGUAGGCUGGUUGUCCAGGCAAAUCCGGAUAAUCAAGGCUGAGGUGUGAUGACGAGGCACUACGGUGCUGAAGUAACAAAUGCCCUGCUUCCAGGAAAAGCCUCUAAGCAUCAGGUAACAUCAAAUCGUACCCCAAACCGACACAGGUGGUCAGGUAGAGAAUACCAAGGCGCUUGAGAGAACUCGGGUGAAGGAACUAGGCAAAAUGGUGCCGUAACUUCGGGAGAAGGCACGCUGGUGUGUAGGUGAAGCCCCUGCGGGUGGAGCUGAGACCAGUCGAAGAUACCAGCUGGCUGCAACUGUUUAUUAAAAACACAGCACUGUGCAAACACGAAAGUGGACGUAUACGGUGUGACGCCUGCCCGGUGCCGGAAGGUUAAUUGAUGGGGUUAUCCGUAAGGAGAAGCUCUUGAUCGAAGCCCCGGUAAACGGCGGCCGUAACUAUAACGGUCCUAAGGUAGCGAAAUUCCUUGUCGGGUAAGUUCCGACCUGCACGAAUGGCGUAAUGAUGGCCAGGCUGUCUCCACCCGAGACUCAGUGAAAUUGAACUCGCUGUGAAGAUGCAGUGUACCCGCGGCAAGACGGAAAGACCCCGUGAACCUUUACUAUAGCUUGACACUGAACAUUGAGCCUUGAUGUGUAGGAUAGGUGGGAGGCUUUGAAGCGUGGACGCCAGUCUGCGUGGAGCCAACCUUGAAAUACCACCCUUUAAUGUUUGAUGUUCUAACGUUGGCCCCUGACCGGGGUUGCGGACAGUGUCUGGUGGGUAGUUUGACUGGGGCGGUCUCCUCCCAAAGCGUAACGGAGGAGCACGAAGGUUAGCUAAUCCUGGUCGGACAUCAGGAGGUUAGUGCAAUGGCAUAAGCUAGCUUGACUGCGAGCGUGACGGCGCGAGCAGGUGCGAAAGCAGGUCAUAGUGAUCCGGUGGUUCUGAAUGGAAGGGCCAUCGCUCAACGGAUAAAAGGUACUCCGGGGAUAACAGGCUGAUACCGCCCAAGAGUUCAUAUCGACGGCGGUGUUUGGCACCUCGAUGUCGGCUCAUCACAUCCUGGGGCUGAAGUAGGUCCCAAGGGUAUGGCUGUUCGCCAUUUAAAGUGGUACGCGAGCUGGGUUUAGAACGUCGUGAGACAGUUCGGUCCCUAUCUGCCGUGGGCGCUGGAGAAUUGAGGGGGGCUGCUCCUAGUACGAGAGGACCGGAGUGGACGCAUCACUGGUGUUCGGGUUGUCAUGCCAAUGGCACUGCCCGGUAGCUAAAUGCGGAAGAGAUAAGUGCUGAAAGCAUCUAAGCACGAAACUUGCCCCGAGAUGAGUUCUCCCUGAGACUUUAAGUCUCCUGAAGGAACGUUAAAGACGAUGACGUUGAUAGGCCGGGUGUGUAAGCGCAGCGAUGCGUUGAGCUAACCGGUACUAAUGAACCGUGAGGCUUAACCUU
Molecule: ribosomal RNA, 2899 nt
Filed under: Klebsiella pneumoniae
Lineage: Bacteria; Pseudomonadati; Pseudomonadota; Gammaproteobacteria; Enterobacterales; Enterobacteriaceae
Description: 23S ribosomal RNA
Rfam family: Bacterial large subunit ribosomal RNA
Source: RNAcentral